GUCUAUGGCCAUACCAUCCUGAAUAUACAUGAUCUCAGAAAUUAAGCAGGGUUGAGCCUGGUUACUUGGAUGAGAAGAAAUCUUUUUAAUAAUGACC
This 97-nucleotide ribosomal RNA is filed under the name Otolemur garnettii (small-eared galago). Lineage: Eukaryota; Metazoa; Chordata; Mammalia; Primates; Galagidae. The record is from RNAcentral.